UACGUAGGGGGCUAGCGUUGUCCGGAUUUACUGGGUUUAAAGGGUGCGUAGGUGGAUUGGUAAGUCAGUGGUGAAAUACUUUCGCUUAACGAAGGAACUGCCAUUGAUACUAUCAAUCUUGAAUGUAGUGGAGGUAGGCGGAAUGCGUCAUGUAGCGGUGAAAUGCUUAGAUAUGACGCAGAACACCAAUUGCGAAGGCAGCUUGCUACACUACUAUUGACACUGAGGCACGAAAGCGUGGGGAUCAAACAGG
Molecule: ribosomal RNA, 253 nt
Filed under: uncultured bacterium
Lineage: Bacteria
Description: partial 16S ribosomal RNA
Rfam family: Bacterial small subunit ribosomal RNA
Source: RNAcentral